RNAcentral lists this ribosomal RNA (193 nucleotides) under Mycobacteroides saopaulense. RNAcentral's name for it is "partial 23S large subunit ribosomal RNA". It matches the Rfam family "Bacterial large subunit ribosomal RNA", at positions 1 to 192 of the family's 2925-position model. The record is from RNAcentral. Lineage: Bacteria; Bacillati; Actinomycetota; Actinomycetes; Mycobacteriales; Mycobacteriaceae.
AGCUAAGUUCUUAAGGGCGCAUGGUGAAUGCCUUGGCACUAGAAGCCGAAGAAGGACGUAGGAGGCUGCGAUAAGCCUCGGGGAGCUGCCAACCGAGCUUUGAUCCGAGGAUGUCCGAAUGGGGAAACCCAGCACGAGUGAUGUCGUGUUACCCACUGCUGAAUAUAUAGGCUUUGGGAGGAAACGCGGGGAA